AACGAACGCUGGCGGCAUGCCUAACACAUGCAAGUCGAACGAGACCUUCGGGUCUAGUGGCGCACGGGUGCGUAACGCGUGGGAACCUGCCCUUAGGUUCGGAAUAACUCCCCGAAAGGGGUGCUAAUACCGGAUAAUGUCUUCGGACCAAAGAUUUAUCGCCUUUGGAUGGGCCCGCGUUGGAUUAGCUAGUUGGUAGGGUAAAAGCCUACCAAGGCGACGAUCCAUAGCUGGUCUGAGAGGAUGCUCAGCCACACUGGGACUGAGACACGGCCCAGACUCCUACGGGAGGCAGCAGUGGGGAAUAUUAGACAAUGGGCGAAAGCCUGAUACAGCAAUGCCGCGUGAGUGAUGAAGGCCUUAGGGUUGUAAAGCUCUUUUACCCGGGAUGAUAAUGACAGUACCGGGAGAAUAAGCUCCGGCUAACUCCGUG
This 433-nucleotide ribosomal RNA is filed under the name uncultured bacterium. Its description in RNAcentral is "partial 16S ribosomal RNA". It matches the Rfam family "Bacterial small subunit ribosomal RNA", at positions 29 to 507 of the family's 1533-position model. The record is from RNAcentral.